CAGCCGCCGCGGUAAUACGUAGGUGGCAAGCGUUGUCCGGAAUUAUUGGGCGUAAAGGGCUCGCAGGCGGUUUCUUAAGUCUGAUGUGAAAGCCCCCGGCUCAACCGGGGAGGGUCAUUGGAAACUGGGAAACUUGAGUGCAGAAGAGGAGAGUGGAAUUCCACGUGUAGCGGUGAAAUGCGUAGAGAUGUGGAGGAACAUCAGUGGCGAAGGCGACUCUCUGGUCUGUAACUGACGCUGAUGCACGAAAGCUAGGGGAGCAAACAGGAUUAGAUACCCCCGUAGUCCCUGUCUCUUAUAA
This 301-nucleotide ribosomal RNA is filed under the name uncultured bacterium. RNAcentral's name for it is "partial 16S ribosomal RNA". It matches the Rfam family "Bacterial small subunit ribosomal RNA", at positions 509 to 809 of the family's 1533-position model. The record is from RNAcentral.